Molecule: ribosomal RNA, 253 nt
Filed under: uncultured bacterium
Lineage: Bacteria
Description: partial 16S ribosomal RNA
Rfam family: Bacterial small subunit ribosomal RNA
Source: RNAcentral
UACGAAGGGGGCUAGCGUUUUUCGGAAUUACUGGGCGUAAAGCGCACGUAGGCGGAUUAGUAAGUCAGGGGUGAAAUCCCGGGGCUCAACCUCGGAACUGCCUUUGAUACUGCUGAUCUCGAGUCCGGAAGAGGUGAGUGGAAUUCCUAGUGUAGAGGUGAAAUUCGUAGAUAUUAGGAAGAACACCAGUGGCGAAGGCGGCUCGCUGGUCCGGUACUGACGCUGGGGUGCAAAAGCGUGGGGAGCAAAAGGG